GUGGGGAAUCUUGCGCAAUGGGCGAAAGCCUGACGCAGCAACGCCGCGUGCGGGAAGAAGGCUCUCGGGUUGUAAACCGCUUUCAGUAGGAACGAAAAUGACGGUACCUGCAGAAGAAGGUGCGGCCAACUACGUGCCAGCAGCCGCGGUGACACGUAGGCACCAAGCGUUGUCCGGAUUUAUUGGGCGUAAAGAGCUCGUAGGCGGUUCAGUAAGUCGGGUGUGAAAACUCUGGGCUCAACCCAGAGACGCCACUCGAUACUGCUGUGACUUGAGUACGGUAGGGGAGCGGGGAAUUCCUGGUGUAGCGGUGAAAUGCGCAGAUAUCAGGAGGAACACCGGUGGCGAAGGCGCCGCUCUGGGCCGAAACUGACGCUGAGGAGCGAAAGCGUGGGUAGCAAACAGGAUUAGAAACCCGGGUAGUCC
RNAcentral lists this ribosomal RNA (426 nucleotides) under uncultured bacterium. Its description in RNAcentral is "bacterial SSU rRNA". It matches the Rfam family "Bacterial small subunit ribosomal RNA", at positions 354 to 796 of the family's 1533-position model. The record is from RNAcentral.